Molecule: ribosomal RNA, 482 nt
Filed under: uncultured soil bacterium
Lineage: Bacteria
Description: bacterial SSU rRNA
Rfam family: Bacterial small subunit ribosomal RNA
Source: RNAcentral
AGAUUGAACGCUGGCGGCAUGCCUAACACAUGCAAGUCGAACGGGAGUAGCAAUACUCUAGUGGCGGACGGGUGAGGAAUACGUAGGAAUUUGCCCUUAAGUGGGGGAUAACCCGGGGAACCCGGAUUAAUACCGCAUGACCUCGAAAGAGCAAAGUGGGGGAUCGCAAGACCUCACGCUUUUGGAGAAGCCUACGUCGGAUUAGCUAGUUGGUGAGGUAAUGGCUCACCAAGGCGACGAUCCGUAACUGGUCUGAGAGGAUGAUCAGUCACACCGGAACUGAGACACGGUCCGGACUCCUACGGGAGCAGCAGUGGGGAUAUUGGACAAUGGGCGCAAGCCUGAUCCAGCAAUGCCGCGUGUGUGAAGAAGGCCUUCGGUUGUAAAGCUAACGUUUAAGGUUAGGGAAGAAAAAACUCGACUACUAAACACAGUGAGUCGUUAGACGGUACCGACAAGAAUAAGACACCGGACUAACCUCU